Molecule: ribosomal RNA, 497 nt
Filed under: uncultured bacterium
Lineage: Bacteria
Description: partial 16S ribosomal RNA
Rfam family: Bacterial small subunit ribosomal RNA
Source: RNAcentral
GAUGAACGCUGGCGGCGUGCCUAAUACAUGCAAGUCGAGCGAACAGACGAGGAGCUUGCUCCUCUGACGUUAGCGGCGGACGGGUGAGUAACACGUGGAUAACCUACCUAUAAGACUGGGAUAACUUCGGGAAACCGGAGCUAAUACCGGAUAAUAUAUUGAACCGCAUGGUUCAAUAGUGAAAGACGGUUUUGCUGUCACUUAUAGAUGGAUCCGCGCCGCAUUAGCUAGUUGGUAAGGUAACGGCUUACCAAGGCAACCAUGCGUAGCCGACCUGAGAGGGUGAUCGGCCACACUGGAACUGAGACACGGUCCAGACUCCUACGGGAGGCAGCAGUAGGGAAUCUGCCGCAAUGGGCGAAAGCCUGACGGAGCAACGCCGCGUGAGAGAUGAAGGUCUUCGGAUCGUAAAACUCUGUUAUGAGGGAAGAACAAAUGUGUAAGUAACUAUGCACGUCUUGACGGUACCUAAUCAGAAAGCCACGGCUAACUACGUG